Molecule: non-coding RNA, 157 nt
Filed under: Sphingomonas sp.
Lineage: Bacteria; Pseudomonadati; Pseudomonadota; Alphaproteobacteria; Sphingomonadales; Sphingomonadaceae
Description: 6S RNA
Rfam family: 6S / SsrS RNA
About the family: E. coli 6S RNA was the first non coding RNA to be sequenced, but its function was unknown until recently. It consists of 184 nucleotides that fold into an extended hairpin structure with a large single-stranded internal bulge.
Source: RNAcentral
GUGGAACUGCCCGAUACGAUCCGCUGCGAACAUCCCUGAGGCGAUUCAUCUUCCUAGGGGGCUGUCCCUGGCCGGGCUCUGGCCCGAACUACAUGGUCCCCACCUGACGUUUACGGCGUCAGAGGAUAUUCCGGAAAACGGUCAUGGCGGUUCCACC